AGUGAACGCUGGCGGUAGGCCUAACACAUGCAAGUCGAACGGCAGCACAGUAAGAGCUUGCUCUUACGGGUGGCGAGUGGCGGACGGGAGAGGAAUACAUCGGAAUCUACUUUUUCGUGGGGGAUAACGUAGGGAAACUUACGCUAAUACCGCAUACGACCUACGGGUGAAAGCAGGGGAUCUUCGGACCUUGCGCGAUUGAAUGAGCCGAUGUCGGAUUAGCUAGUUGGCGGGGUAAAGGCCCACCAAGUCGACGAUCCGUAGCUGGUGUGAGAGGAUGGUCGCCCACCCGGGAGCUUGGCCACGGUCCAGACUCCUACGGGAGGCCGCAGUGGGGAAUGUUGGACAAUGGUGGCAAGCCUGGUCCAGCCGUCCCGCGUGGGUGAAGAAGGCCUUCGGGUUGUAAAGCCCGUUUUUUGGGUGAGAAAAGCAGCAGGUUAAUACCCCGCUGUUCUGACGGUACCCAAAGAAUAAGCACCGGCUAACUUCGUG
RNAcentral lists this ribosomal RNA (492 nucleotides) under uncultured bacterium. RNAcentral's name for it is "partial 16S ribosomal RNA". It matches the Rfam family "Bacterial small subunit ribosomal RNA", at positions 29 to 507 of the family's 1533-position model. The record is from RNAcentral.